This 580-nucleotide small RNA is filed under the name Pan troglodytes (chimpanzee). RNAcentral's name for it is "processed transcript". Lineage: Eukaryota; Metazoa; Chordata; Mammalia; Primates; Hominidae. The record is from RNAcentral.
GAUGACUUACUGGGAAAAGAGUCUCCCAGCAAAGACUCUGAGCCAAGUUGCUGGGGGAAGAAGAAGAAAAAGAAAAAGAGGACUCCACAAGAAGAUCAAUGGGAUGGAGUUGGUCCUAUCCCAGGACUGUCGAAGUCCCCCAAAGGGGUUGAGAUGCUGUGGCACCCAUCGGUGGUAAAACCAUAUCUGACUCUUCUAGCAGAAAGUUCCAACCCAGCCACCUUGGAAGGCUCUGCAGGGUCUCUCCAGAACCUCUCUGCUGGCAACUGGAAGUUUGCAGCAUAUAUCCGGGCGGCCGUCCGAAAAGAAAAGGGGCUACCCAUCCUUGUGGAGCUUCUGAGAAUGGAUAACGAUAGAGUUGUUUCUUCUGUGGCAACUGCCUUGAGGAAUAUGGCACUAGAUGUUCGCAACAAGGAGCUCAUAGAAACUAACAUGUUGCCACCGUUGUCAGAUGAGUUGCUGUACACCUCAGCUCUAUACACAAAAAUGUGUAACUGUACCCAGUUCAUACAUUAAGAUCCAGAAAGAUCUAACGAAAAGUAUUGUUUGGCAGCCUGACUUGGUCCAGAUUCAAAGGUAA